Molecule: ribosomal RNA, 490 nt
Filed under: uncultured bacterium
Lineage: Bacteria
Description: partial 16S ribosomal RNA
Rfam family: Bacterial small subunit ribosomal RNA
Source: RNAcentral
AUUGAACGCUGGCGGCAGGCCUAACACAUGCAAGUCGAACGGUAACAGAAAGCAGCUUGCUGCUUUGCUGACGAGUGGCGGACGGGUGAGUAAUGUCUGGGAAACUGCCUGAUGGAGGGGGAUAACUACUGGAAACGGUAGCUAAUACCGCAUAACGUCGCAAGACCAAAGAGGGGGACUUUCGGGCCUCUUGCCAUCGGAUGUGCCCAGAUGGGAUUAGCUAGUAGGUGGGGUAAAGGCUCACCUAGGCGACGAUCCCUAGCUGGUCUGAGAGGAUGACCACCCACACUGCAACUGAGACACGGUCCAGACUCCUGCGAGAGGCAGCAGUGGGGAAUAUUGCACAAUGGGCGCAAGCCUGAUGCAGCCAUGCCGCGUGUGUGAAGAAGGCCUUCGGGUUGUAAAGUACUUUCUGCGGGGAGGAAGGAAGUAAAGUUAAUACCUUAGCUCAUUGACGUUACCCGCAGAAGAAGCACCGGCUAACUCCGUG